Molecule: ribosomal RNA, 253 nt
Filed under: uncultured bacterium
Lineage: Bacteria
Description: partial 16S ribosomal RNA
Rfam family: Bacterial small subunit ribosomal RNA
Source: RNAcentral
UACGUAGGGUGCGAGCGUUAAUCGGAAUUACUGGGCGUAAAGCGUUCGCAGGCGGUUUUGUAAGUCAGAUGUGAAAUCCCCGGGCUUAACCUGGGAAUGGCAUUUGGGACUGCAAGGCUUGAGUGCGGCAGAGGAGACUGGAAUUCCUGGUGUAGCAGUGAAAUGCGUAGAUAUCAGGAGGAACACCGAUGGCGAAGGCAAGUCUCUGGGCUGACACUGACGCUCAUGCACGAAAGCGUGGGGAGCAAACAGG